Non-coding RNA from Acanthosepion pharaonis, 118 nucleotides. NCBI's taxonomy places the organism in Eukaryota, Metazoa, Mollusca, Cephalopoda, Sepiida, Sepiidae. The record is from the annotation of a GenBank genome assembly.
ACAGCCAUAUCACGUUGAAACAUUGGUUUCCGUACGAUCACCGAAGUUAAGCAACGUCGAGUCUAGUCACUGCUCAGUACCUAGAUUGGUGACCACUUGGGAAUACCAAGUGCUGUAA